GUUCUUCACCACUGCACACUUGGCAGGAUGUAUCCCAUUUUAAAACUUGACAGUCCAUCUCCUUCACUCCCAUACUGUAGGGCUAGGCAAGCAAAGCAAACUGAUUCUGCAAUGCUUCUAAUAGUUAUUCCUGCUCAUUAUUUUAGCUAGAUGUAUUCUAAAGUCUUUAUCCCAAAGAGUUGAAUCAAAGGUUCUUCCACUCCUCCAACCUGAUUGUGCUGACAAGCCACUAAGCUGAGCCAUCUAAUAUACAGGGUGGCAGGGAUGAAGUCACCGUUACUGUCCAACAGCUUUUAUUUUAAGCUGGUGUGGGCUGGGCAUAUCAAAGACAGGCAAAGAAAAAUAACUUGGAGAGUUGCCAUUGAGGAUAUAUCCACAGUGAGCCAACAGCACCCACACAAGCAGCCCUCGUCUGUAUAAUGCCCUCUACUGGGUCUUGAGGGAGAUUAAAAAGAAAGAUCUCUUCCAUCCUGGGGAACCUGAGAUAUGACAGCAGCACACAAAUACAGGCAGAUUUAUAGUUCUAAGCAGAGUUCCAGUAGCUAAGCUAAGGGAAGGAGAGUCAGGAGAUAAGCUGUUAGCUGAAUUUUAUUAAAGACAGAUGACUUCACUAGUAAAGAUAAAGUGGGACCUCCCGUGGUUGGGCUGCAAUAUUUUAAGUCCCAAGUGACUGCUGAAUACUCGCUUUGCAGUUGGAAAAAUAAGCUGUUUUUGGCCAGAUAAACAGUGUAAGAGGUCAUCUCUGCUCUAGAGGAACAUGUAACCUAAUUGAGACACUUCUACAUAUAAUGCAAGAUAGCAUAUGGUUAGUCAAGUAGUAGAAUUCUGAGAAGAGAAAAUCUGACUGGACUCAUUAGGUAAACAUAAGUGGUGGAAAUGGACAUUUAACUGGGCCUUGAAAGGUGGGUAGUAUUUAAACAGUGCAGUUACUUAAUAAGUGUCCACAAUAUGCCUGGCAUUGUGCUAAAAUACAAGGUAAAUUGUAUGUGGCUGCCUCUUUCAAGGAGAUUACAUUGUAGUGGUGACCUACACAUGAAGAAAUCAUAUUACAGUGUUAAACUUACAGCAGUGGUGGUCUAGCUAUACAGAGGAAUAGGGACAAGUAAUUAAUUAAUAAUAGUUGCUUUUUUUUUUUUUUUUUUCUGAGACAGAGUCUCACUUCGUCACUGGAGUGUAGUGGUGUGAUCUUGGCUCACUGGAACCUCCACCUCUGGGUUCAAGUGAUUCUGCCUCACCCUACGGAGUAGCUGGGAUUACAGGCAUGUGCCACCAUGCCCUGCUAAUUUUUGUAUUUUUGGUAGAGAUGGUGUAUCACCAUGUUGGCCAGGCCAGUCUUGAACUCCUCACCUCAAGUGAUCCACCCACCUCAGCCUCCCAAAGUGCUGGGAUUGCAGGCUUGAGCCACUGCUCCUGGCCUGUUGGUUUUUUUUUCU
RNAcentral lists this long non-coding RNA (1433 nucleotides) under Homo sapiens (human). RNAcentral's name for it is "LHRI_LNC644.1". The record is from RNAcentral. Lineage: Eukaryota; Metazoa; Chordata; Mammalia; Primates; Hominidae.